GGGAAACAAGACCUUGAGUCCAGGAAAUCCUCACCUACUUCAUGGACUUGGGCCUCAUACAAUCUGAGGAGAUGGAGUUCUUGUUUCUUUGAAUGUUCCAGGUGGGACAAUCUGACCAGGUAAGUACAUAACAAAUGAAGGCUAAUUUAUUUGCCAAUUUGGUUUAUUUUAAGUUGAGAUUGAUAACGUUGUAUAUCUAGGUUUGAUAGGAGGAAUCCAGUGGAUGUAUGACCUUUUUUCUUGGGUCAUAUUGAGUCUGUGAUGUCACAUAGACUGGAUCCCAAAUGAAAGCUUUGGAGCAGCGGUUGUUUUUUCUUCUUUUUUUUUCUACAGUUGUAAAUAGUUUUUUUAUGUAUGUAUAUAUUUAAAAUAGUUUCAUGUAAGAAUAUAGUUUAAUAUAUGUUUCAUGUAUGUAUAUAUGUAUAAUAGUUUGAUAUUUAUGACAAGUUGAUCAUCGUGGCAAAGCCAUGUUUCACUUGUGAGAUUAAAUCUGUCAGGCCUUACAUUGACACUCAGGCAACAACCCUGAGUGCCACACGGCCGGACAGGACACAUGUAAAUAAAAAAAGAUAGUUUUUAUUGCAGAGAUAUCAAGUUCUGAAAUUUAUUGUAUUCUUUAAAUGUUGUAAUUUUGGUUCAUUGUAAUCUUUACUUGUAAAAAGUUUGUAGAAAUCUUUAAUUUGACUUCAAUAUAUAUUUUUAAACUGUGA
Poeciliopsis prolifica (blackstripe livebearer) is the source of this 710-nucleotide long non-coding RNA. RefSeq lists it as uncharacterized. NCBI's taxonomy places the organism in Eukaryota, Metazoa, Chordata, Actinopteri, Cyprinodontiformes, Poeciliidae. The record is from RefSeq and is a predicted model, not a curated record. The transcript has 3 exons.